Molecule: long non-coding RNA, 5035 nt
Organism: Podarcis muralis (Common wall lizard)
Lineage: Eukaryota; Metazoa; Chordata; Lepidosauria; Squamata; Lacertidae
Source: Ensembl
AAAAAAGUAGCUGCCGAGAAGGCUUUGAUCACUGCAAAAAUCAAGGGACAUUGCAGUGGGAAACCUGGUUGUCUCAACAAGUGGAAGGGUUGUGACAAUAGCCAGGCUAGAAGAUUUGAUUAUGGAGCAUCACACAAAAAAAUAGCUAUUAAAUGGGUACUUCCGUGGGUCCUUACCUCAGAGAACUGAGGCACAGAGGCAUCAAAAAAACAUCACUAAUGAUUUUAAGAUUGUUCACUGCAGCACAGCAAAGAAGAAAGCAAUCCCAAGCAUGAAGACUCUGCUUUUGCUGAUAUAUAUCAUUGGUAUAGCCAUUGCUUCCCCAAUCCAGAGAAGUGGAAUUCUAUUCAGGAGAGGCUAUGAGGGCAAUAUUAAUUCCAUCAGUGCAGAUAAAGGAGUAUUAAAGACCAGCUCUGCCGUUACGAAUGGGAACCAGCAGAAUGGAGAUGAGGGUCACCAGGAAGGAGAAAUAUUUCUGGAUCUCACCAAAGAAUAUGCCAUUCCUGAAGAAGUUUCUACAGCCGAUCCUAUCCGUUCCCAAGGAGGCUAUCCGCACGAAACCGAGAGCCUGUUGCUCCAUGAGGACAACAGCUUUGUGCAGGCCAAAGGCCACAGUCAGCCCAACACGGAAAAAAACAGGGAGACCUAUGUUGAAUAUCCAACAGAGAAAGAGGUUGACAGCCAGGAUGUAGCGCUUCUCAAAACGAUUAGCAAUGCGGAACAAAAUGGCUCGCAGCAUUUGAGAGAGAAGAAUGCAGUUCAUGGUCCAGUGUUGACCACAAGGGAGUCCAUCGUUUCGGAAGCAGAUCUGUUUGCUGGCAAACAGCACAUCAAGGAUUUCCAGGCCAGCCGUGAGUUUGACGUGAGAAAAAAUGUCCCUUAUCAUCUGAACAGCUACCAUUUCAGUGAUGAAGGCAUGCAAGGAGAUGACCCAGGUCAUACUGAUGACUCUGAGUCUAGUCAGCAGGUGGAGAGCCAGAGCAAUUUCAGUCAGCAGCCUGGAGAACCAAAUAGUUCAAGUGGUUCAAACGAGGAAGAGGUGAAACAGGCCAGCACUUCAGGGAACUCUGGAAGCCCAGAGUACUCCAAUGGGUCCCCUGACUCCAGCAGUUCCAGCGAUUCUAGUGACCCCAGUGAUUCUAGCACCUCCAGUGACUCCAGCAGUUCCAGUGAUUCUAGUGACUCUAGUGACUCUAGUGACUCCAGCAGUUCCAGUGAUUCUAGUGACUCCAGUGACUCUAGUGACUCCAGCAGUUCCAGUGAUUCUAGUGACUCCAGUGACUCUAGUGACACCAGCAGUUCCAGUGAUUCUAGUGACUCUAGUGACUCCAGUGAUUCUAGCACCUCCAGUGACUCCAGCAGUUCCAGUGAUUCUAGUGACUCUAGUGACUCCAGCAGUUCCAGUGAUUCUAGUGACUCCAGUGACUCUAGUGACACCAGCAGUUCCAGUGAUUCUAGUGACUCUAGUGACUCCAGUGAUUCUAGCACCUCCAGUGACUCCAGCAGUUCCAGUGACUCUAGUGACUCCAGUAGUUCCAGUGACUCUAGUGACUCCAGCAGUUCCAGUGAUUCCAGUGACUCCAGCAGUUCCAGUGACUCUAGUGACUCCGGGAGUUCCAGUGACUCUAGUGACUCCAGUAGUUCCAGUGAUUCCAGUGACUCUAGCAGUUCCAGUGACUCUAGUGACUCCAGUGAUUCCAGUGACUCUAGCAGUUCUAGUGACUCUAGUGACUCCAGUGACUCCAGCAGCUCCAGUGACUCAAGUAAUACUUCUGAGUCUAGUGAUUCCAGUGACUCUAGUGAUUCUAGCAACUCUUCUGACUCCAGUGACUCCAGUGGGCAAAGUGAUUCCAGCAGCUCCACUGAUUCCACUGAUUCUGAUAGUUCCAAUGACAGCAGCACCUCCAGUGACUCUAGUGAUUCCAAUAAUUCUAGCACUUCCAAAUAAGUGAGAAGUUGCUCAGAUAGUACUGGUGCCACCCAUAGAUAUCAGUACUGAUAAGGGAAAAUGGUAGAAUUUGGGACAAAAUUGCAAUAGGGGGAGUGAAUGGGGACAGCAGGUCCUGUAGUACUGAGGCAAUAUUUUGUGGCGUUCCAAAGCGCCUUUCACAAUUGAAAUGGCUGCCUUGCUCCACGAGGCAGGGAAGGCGAAUGUGAUGAUUCUGUCUAAAGAUGAAUUUCCAACCAUUUCAAAUGACGCAUGAGCCCUGCUCAGUUGUAUGAAGGGGCAGUAAAGGAGCUUUGUCAUUGUUGUCACGUGGCUCCUUCCAGCUUCCCACGCAUUCGGUACCAAUGUUUGCAGCAUGGAGCCUGCUGUACUCAGGGGGUCUCCUUGCACAAUUUAGUACCUUGAUUGUGCAGGGACCGUGCAUGAGAGGAGCUGGAAGUGACAUGUGACAACCGUGGUGGACCUCACAGCCACAUUGGACUCACAUAUCCCCUUCACAUAUCCAUGAGCAGAUUUUGAGUGUCUUCUGUCCUGAUCGUUCUCUUGACUUGGCCACAGCAAAAUGAAGGGCAACCUCUAAAGAAGAAACAUUUGCCAUCAUUAUGAAACUAGAUUUCUCUAGGGCAGGAGGGAGAAGCAUCUCCACCUACCUUUCUGAGCAACCUUCCAGGAGCCACAUGUCAUUGGUGGGCGUGGCCAGAGGCAAAAGUAGGUGGAGCAAUGAAUGAUGAUUUCCCUUUUAUACAGCAGGCUGGGUUUCCGCAGUCACUCUGGGUGACUUCCAGCAAAAUAUUUAAAUACAAUAAUUCAUCAAAUAUUAAAAGCUUCCCCAAACAGGGCUGCCUUUAGAUGUCUUCUAAAAGUCAGAUAGUUGUUUAUUUCCUUGACAUCUGGUGGGAGGGCAUUCCACAGGGUGGGGGCCACUACCGAGAAGGCCCUCUGCCUGGUUCCCUGUAACCUCAAUUCUUGCAGUGAGGGAACCGCCAGAAGGCCUUUGGAGCUGGACCUCAGUGUCUGGGCUGAACGAUGGGGGUGGAGGCACUCCUUCAGGUAUACUGGGCUGAGGCCAUUUAGGGCUUUAAAGCUCAGCACCAACACUUUGAAUUAUGCCCAGAAACGUACUGGGAGCCAAUGUAGAUCUUUCAGGACUGGUGUUAUGUGGUUCGGCGCCUUGGCAAGUUUAGGGCUCAAAGCGCUCCAGUCCUCUUGUGCAACAAGCCAGCUUUGAAAAGCACCAGACUUCUUGUGGAAAUGAAAGUGAUAAGGAAAUCCACCAGAAAGUGUGGGAGAACUAUGGAGUGGUGGGGGCCAUAUAACCUCCAUGCAGACAAGUCAGAAUGAAUGCUCAGUAAACAAAUAAAUAGUGGGCAUUGUAUGCAGAAGCCUUUUGCAAACAAAUUAGGACACAUGCUCAGUGAGUGGUUCAUCUGCAGGUACCUGGGAAUCUGAUCCCUCCCCUGGCGGGCAGCCAAGAAGCAGAUAACAGGAAGAGUUCUUACCAAGUCCUUUAUUCAAUAUACCUCUCCAUCCCAGCAAUGGCGUUUCUCUGAGUAAAGUCCCACCCCCUCCAUCUCUCCUAUUGUACGUCAUCCCUGCAUCGGCUGAUCUGUGCUUUCUGCCUCUGAGUUUUCUGUUCUACUACUCUUGACGCACGCCGGGUCCCAGGAGGAGCAGGGUCAGGAAUGCUUUCUAAUGAUAACGUGUCAGCCAGCUGCUCCAGCUCUGCUGCUUCCCACCUUUCUCUUCUUUUUUCUCCCAGCUUUUCCCCUCUUCUGUCUCAGAGUCAUGGCCUUCUGCAAAGGUCUGUUCUUAACCUGAAACUGUUCUUAACCUGAAGCACCACAUUAACUAAUGGGGCCUCCUGCUGCCACAGCGCCACCAGAGCACGAUUUCUGUUCUCAUCCUGAAGCAAAGUUCUUAACUCGAGGUACUAUUUCUGGGUUAGCAGAGUCUGUAACCUGAAGUGUAUGUAACCUGAAGCGUAUGUAACCCGAGGUACCACUGUACUAGCCUCCUCUUCUCAAGAUGGUUCAGGAGAAGGAGGGUGGGAUGUCUCCACCAUACCUCCUCUGAGGUCCAGUCCCUGACAGUCCCUCUUAGUGCAGAAUGGAUGUUGCUCAUAAGUUUGUCCUGCCAUGCAUACCCACCAAACCCUGUGGACAUAUAUCCCUGCACAUUGACACCACCAUCGAUUCAGGCGGAUUUCUGUUAUCAGGGUAGCUCCUUCAAACAAGCUUUGGACACACACAGAGAGAAAUCUCCUCCAAAUACUACAGAGAGAGGGAAAGGGACCUGCUGGAAUGGGACGGCAGACAAAUCCCUUACUCUUGCAUUCUCUGUGGUUUUCUGGGGCAUUUGUUUUCUUUUUACUUAUUUUGGGGAUUGUGGCUUCCUUUUUUGAGCUAGGGCGUGGAAACUUGACAACACAACAAAGCUAGUGUGCUGAAGCUGUCAGAAGGACAAGCCCAGGCUGUGCUGUAAAUAUCCUGGCAGAAAAGGAACAGCAACAAAAAAAACCCCGCUUUCAACAUGCUUCGGAAAAGUAAUAAUAAAAAAUUAAAUGUCCAGAUUGCAAACUGUGCCGUGAACAAAGGUCUUUUGUAAGCCUCAGUGGCUGCUUUAUUCAAAGCUUCUGCUAUUAAACAAAAUAGUACCCUAUUGUGUAUUUGGCCACAUUCAUGGUUUAACCAGUCCAGUUAAGAAGUUCCCACCAAAGAAGAAUGAAUAAGUAAGGUGGUGGGCUGGUAAUUGGCAAAAUUAACAGCCAAAAUAAGAGAGCCUAAUGAUGAUAAUCUUGUGGAAGAAUGAAAGCCUUUCUUGGAUUACUUAAAGAAAUACUAUAGUAUGAUGAAUUCACGGGCAGGAUUUGAACCACGAGCAACAGAAGGAAUUAGAGAUUAUUGUAUUGUUGUUAUGGCAUAGAAGAUAGAAGCUAGGGUUCAGCGAAGGGGCAGAAAUGGGAAAAAAGCACCAUGGAAAACGGGGUGGGAAGUUGACAAAACAAAAGAAAACUGUAUUAUGUAUUGGAGUGUAUAUGUGAAACUUUUGAAAUUUAAUAAAAUAUAACUAAAACAAAAACAAAAGAAC